Molecule: small RNA, 562 nt
Filed under: Pongo abelii (Sumatran orangutan)
Lineage: Eukaryota; Metazoa; Chordata; Mammalia; Primates; Hominidae
Description: retained intron
Source: RNAcentral
ACAUCACUGGAGAAUGUAAAGGGUUGCAUAUUUAUCUUUAAGGUUCUCCGGGAGAAACGGCAUUUAGAGCAACAGAUCAUGGAUCUGAAAGUGACAAGCAUUUUAGAAAGGUGUCAGACAAAGAGAAAAUUGACCAACUUCAGGAAGAACUUCUGCACACUCAGUUAAAGUAUCAGAGAAUCUUGGAACGAUUAGAAAAGGAGAACAAAGAAUUGAGAAAAUUAGUAUUGCAGAAAGAUGACAAAGGCAUUCAUCAUAGAAAGCUUAAGAAAUCUUUGAUUGACAUGUAUUCUGAAGUUCUUGAUGUUCUCUCUGAUUAUGAUGCCAGUUAUAAUACGCAAGAUCAUCUGCCACGGGUUGUUGUGGUUGGAGAUCAGAGUGCUGGAAAGACUAGUGUGUUGGAAAUGAUUGCCCAAGCUCGAAUAUUCCCGAGAGGAUCUGGGGAGAUGAUGACACGUUCUCCAGUUAAGGUGACUCUGAGUGAAGGUCCUCACCAUGUGGCCCUAUUUAAAGAUAGUUCUCGGGAGUUUGAUCUUACCAAAGAAGAAGAUCUUGCAGCAUU